GAAAUGCCAGGAUUAAAACUGCACAUGAAACCUUUGUUCCCUGUUGGAGGAAGGACACUGUGGUAUGAUAUUCAAUUGCAGAAUCACAGGUUGUUUUGUCUGAGGAACCCCUACGUGUGUAGGGAACUGGUGAACUUGAACUCUACAAUUAUGGAUAGGUGGCCUUGUACUACUAGACCACUGAGUGCUACAAAUUUUAUCCAGACCAAAUGCGAGCACAUUUCAACAAUCUUUUCAGCCAAAGCUCACAAGAUGGCAUGAGAAUGCUUUGCACUCAUAUAGGGGACAUACAUGAGCUGUGGAAGGGCAGAGCACGGUUGACUCAUCGUGAAGUAAUUGAAGCACAGGCAGACUGCAUGAUACACAGUCUGCCAGAACAGUGUCACUUCACUUCUUCAAGAAGCCUUUGACACAGCAAAGUAUGCACUGUUUCAGCACAGUGCAUUAUGUGGCCAUGAUACUUUUACUCUUGUCCAAGAAUUGGACUUACCAUCUCAUAAAGUUGUAGACAAUAAACAAACAUGCUUAUUCUUACUGUCCUUAUUCCACGCCUGUUGGCACACCUUGUACCCUGCACACAAGCUGAGUCCCAUAGUGAACGCACAAAUGGUAUUUCUUCCUGGUACUCUCAACAUAGUACCAUACUGCAGGUCUCUGAGGUAAUAGGCCAGCUUAUGAAGCCAGCUCUGAGCAGUGCAUGUGUCCUACAGCCAUGAAAACACACUUAUUAUCUAUUGCAACUUUAAUGGACAUAUCAUCAGAAAAUUCUAAGAGGUUGUGGGGAAAGGAUAUUAACUUUAUUUUACACAUACAGGAUUGAGUCUUAGAAAUUAAAGGCUCUAACUCUUUCUGACUCGCCAACAUAGCCAAAGGAAGUGAUUUUUUUCCCCAGUUUUUCUCUGUUUACUACAACUAGCCAAUUGCAAUUUGUUAUCUUUCACACAAUGGAAUUCCUUAAGAUAAAAGCAUAAGCCAUUAUCUUGCCUAUUUAUCUAGCACAGAAUGUUGAUCAGCAGCACUUUCCCUCCGAUGUAAUUCUUUCUUGAGACAAGGAUGCUGGUGGAGACUGUCUCACAGCUGUGUCAACUCAUGGUCUCAGGAACAGGUUAAACCAUUAUACACCACGUGGCCAAUUGGAUUUCAUUCCUUAUUUCUCUUCUGACUGCAUGGCACAUACGUGUGAGGGCAUAAUAUAGCUCACUUCACCAUGGGAGGUGCUCCCCUGUAUUUCAGCUUUAAGGAGUGAAGGGUACCAUCCAGUUUUUACAAAUGAGAAUCAGAAGUUUAACAAAUGAAAUCAUCUGUCUCAGAUGCAGUCAUGGACCAAAAGUACUCCUCUGACCUGCAAGUCUUCUGUAUCUAUCCUUCUGACACUUACUAAAGGAAUACAAGCUCCAUCCAUUCUUUCAACUGGAAUAAUCAUUUAAAAAUGUCUUCAGGCAUCUUUCACAUCUUCUCCUCAAUCCUACUGAGGUCAAUUUAAGAACACACUGGCCCUUUUGUCCUACCUUAGCCCACAUGUCAAUUCAGAAAUCCUUUUAGUCACUUUCUUUGCCAGAGAGAAUCAUUCCAGAUUCCAUACUUUUAGCCCAAGAGUGAUUAUUGUAUUUUCAUGCUUGUUCCAGCACUGGGAUAGAGCCUCACAUCUCCUCCUGGACUCCCCUGUUCUCUUGGCUUAGUUUUGACUUUCCUUUCUUCUAUCUUCCCACACUGCAUCAUAAGCUGCACCUUUCUGUCUUUCCUCCUGGUGGCAUGAAAGAUAGUUCAGAAGACCAUACAACUACCUUUUAUUCUCCUACUUUCUGCAGGCUCUUCUGUCAAUGACAGCUAUGUCUGAUCAGCCACCCAGGCACUGUGUUGACCUCAUUAUGAACUUCACAGCUUAUGCAGAUGAGGUGUCAUCACAGAGCAGUAAAGAUUCUGGCUCUGACAUGACUUUGCCAUCUUUGAGAGCAGUCUUACUCCUUUACCUUUUGAUUAAUUCUCUUCUAAAUCCUUGUAGUCUCAAGCAAUAGAGCAGAAAAACGUCUCUGAGCUUUACAUUUUCUUUUUUCACAUUGUUUGUGCAGGCAUUUUUCUUUGGAUUCCCAGUGUGCUUUCCACUUCUGUUCUGCAACCCAGAUACAGUCUUUUGUGUAACUUUAUUUGGAUCCUUCACAACUUCCCAUAAUGAGGGAUCUUGCUAGGACAAUUAGGAACUGGAAGAAGCUAACUGAGCAGCACAGGCAAAUAUACCUUUUGCUCAGAGAGGAGAGGCACAUGUCAGAGCAGCAGGGAAGGAAAAACAGAAGAGAUGUCAGUAUGUUACUGCUUUCCUCAACACAAGCUAGAGGCAGAGAGAACAGGAGAAAGAAGCCUGAUACAAAGAAAAUACUUUGAAACUUCUUAGUGAAGAAUGGAAAGCCUCAGAGGAGAGAGUUUAAUGAGCAAAGUCCAGAGGUGGAUGUAGCUCUCAAGCCUGUCACCUUGGCGUCAUUAUUUCAGAAGUAUUUAGCUCUAUUCUCCAUACCAUUCUCAUGCCAUAGAGGAGGACUGAAUACAGUCACAAGGCCAGUCUUGGUUUCUGAAGGGCUGCAGCAUUCAUGAUGUUGUGUGAAUUAAGUUCCAUAAAGCUUCUACAGUAUUAAAAGCAAGAAAAGUAAAGAAAAGCAACAUCAAAACUUCACCCUAGUCCUCACAUGAGGUUUAUUAAUGUAGCUGGAGCAUUAGCUGCUCAUCAGCCUUUCACCACUUGAGAUAAAGGAGAAACUAUUCAAGUGGAAGAAAGAAGAAAGCCGUGAGCACCUAGUUUGCUAGGAAUUUCAAAACUGUGUGCUGAAUAUGAACAGAAUAACAUAGUUCAGUUAGAAGGGAUCCACAAAGAUCAUCAAAUCCAACUGCCUGACCACUGGAGAGCUAACCAGAAGUUAGAGCAUAUAACUGAGGGCAUGAGGAAGUAAAAGAUGCUUAACGAAGACACUCAGCAAGGAAAAUUUCAGCCUGAAUAAUACAAUUCAGGAAGGUUGUAAGAAACUUACAGGGGGAAAAAAAAAGUAGAAUCUUGUAAUGGAAAUAAUUGUGCAACCUUAUUUGUGGGUAAAGAUAGGUAUUGCUGCCUAGGAUGAACACAGCUGAGAGGCUACCUUCUCAUAUAAAAAUGGCAGAGCUGCAACACAGCUGCAACCAAAUGGUAUCAUUUGAGGCUGCAUUCCUGAAUAGCUUUAGCAAACAUAGAAUACCAAAGAUUAGGAAAAACAAUGUAGAUUAAAAGCACAAUGAAGUAAAGGUAAGUUCAGAGAACACAUGUAUUUUCUAUACAUUUUUACAGGCUGUGUGAUUGCACCUUAUAGUUCCUAGAGCAGGGCAGGGCUAUAUUUUUGCUUUUGGUGCAGAACAGAUAUAAAAAGUGCAGAGAUUUAGUUUCUAGGUCAUAAUGCAAGCUGUCGCACAUUCCUCUUUCUGCCUUUCAAAGGGUGAUGACUCUCCACUUUUACUGAAGUUCUACUAAACUCCUUUUAACUAUGCAUGCAUGCUCUUUUAGCUGGAUUAAGUAAAGGCAACGCCAGUCAGGAGUCACAUAGUCCUAUUUAUUAUCCUCUUCAGUGACUGUUUACAAAUAAACUCUUAUUAAGACACUUGAUACAGUCUUUAUCAGUUUCCACCCAAGUUACCAUAGCUGCAUAAUUAAACAGGUCUGAGGCGUAAAAUGCGUUUGAAUUAAUGUUUGGGCUCUUUGCUACAAUUUUUUCAUUAAAUGACUCAUAUUGAUCAAACCCUGCAAUUACUGUAACACUUUUCAUCUCCCUAGACAUGAAAAUGUGGUGCAUAAUUGGUCACCCUAAACAUGAGUGCUGUACUUGAAAUGUUUAAAAUCAUAUAACAUCUUUUAUAUGGAUACAGUGGGGUUUGAAUAUGUCUUUAAAUUUUUCCAGUAGCUAUAAGUAUGUGAUGGUUCUUUGUAUUUCUUGUCUUUUUCCUUCUCUCUCAAAAUGUAUUUCUCUUCAAGCUUGUUCUAACAGACACCCUGACGUGUUAUAAUGAAUUAAUCAAUAUUGUAUCUUUGCACAAAGAAAACAAGUUUUACAUUUUAUCUUAGAUCACAUCCACCUUUAGAAGUAAGAUGCUAAUUGAGGCUUUAAUUUGCUGCUCCAAGUUCCUAGCUAGGUUCACAGCCCGGUUAUUCCACAGGAGCCACAAGUGAAGAUCUAUGCUAACAAGACAAAAUUGUUUAUUUUAAAGUAGGCUGUGCUCCUGUGAGCAUGAGCAGGAAAGGCUGAUUGCUAACACAGCCCAAAAGCCUGUAUAGCAAAGCAAAACAAAGCCCACUGUGGAUCACAAAUGGAGAGAUUCCGCAAAGAGCAGCUCUCAGAUUUCAGUGCCAUCAAGAUUAGCCUUUGAGACACUUGAAGAAGAGCAGAAUAAAUCCUCUUCCCUCAGUGCCUGCCCAGGGAAAGAUUCGUUUCUGGUGCAAUGUUUCUCUGUACCUGGGUGUACACAGAUGGCUUAAAAGAUCUUCUACAUAGAGUAUAGAACAGGAUUUUGCUUCCUGUCCCCAAGAAUAUGUGACAGUGACUCUAAGAGGCCAGCAGGGUCAGUUUGAAGUGUCAUAGCCUGACUCCGAUCAUAGAAUCACAGAGUCAUAGAAUAUCCCAUAAGGAUCAUAGAGCCCAACUCCUGACUCUACAUAGGACCACACAAAAAAUAAAACUCUGUGUCUAAAAGCAGUGUUCAAACACUCCUUGAACACUGGCAGCUUGGGAGCCUGUUCUAGGGUCCACAGCUCCUGCUGGUCUGCUGGUGAAGAACCUUUUCCUAACUCCCACCCCGACCUCCCCUAACACAGUUUCAUGCCAUUCCCUCAGGUUCUGUCAACUCUUGAAGAACUUUUUAUCUGUGGUGGUUUACUGAUGCCAACUGCGAAAUCAAAACUAUAUGUGCAACAAUUCAGUAGACAACUUCACCCAAGCAUUAGAACUGACAUAUUCCUAGAUCUCUUUAGGGGAAAGCUUUUUCAGUGACAUUGUGUUUUCUUGACUCAAGGAUUGUGAAGUAUGUGCAUUUGGUUUAGUGGCCUCAGAGGAUUUCUGCAAGGACGCAAGGUAACUGCAGGACACAACUCAACCUAGUAUUUCAUUCCUUCUAUGCUUUGUCCUUCUUCAGGAAACCCGGGACACCUCAAAUGCUUGUGGGAGAUGCUCAGAUGCCAGUGUACUGGCUUCAUUCUCCUUGUGACUUGUGCAUCACUGGCACUGCUGCCAACAGCAAGCUGCUAGGUGCCACCACGUUUGCUUCAGCAGUCACUGUUUUUCUCUCCAGCAAAACAGCACAACCCAUCUGCAUAUCAGAUAAUCUGUCAGUGCCUCUGGCUUUUUAACUACCUCAUGGAGUCACUCCUUUAUGUGCUACUGCACAGGUCUACCCAUGACUCCUGAAAACACACUGCUUUCUUUGUUCUAAACAAGUUUUUGAACUUUGGUAUGUUUAUACAAAAAAGACAACGGAAAUACAGGACCAACUCCCUGAAUAUAUUUAAGCCACAGCAUGUCAUGGGGAUCAGAAAAUCCUUCUUUGGCGCAACCAUUCACCAAACAGCACCUACCAUCAGACUCUAUUUUUCAGUUUCCUGCAGCUUACAGUUAAAGCAAACUCCCACAGACUUCCACCAAGGUCCUGCCAGUGUAAGGCCAUCCUUUUUCAGAGUAAUCCUACAGCAACAGCAAGAAGAGAUUUGUUAGGAAAAAACCUAGGCAGGGAUUUUCUUCCUUAAAUAAUUAGGUAAUUCGCAAUAGCAUUCUCUGUGGCGUUUAUUAAAAUGCCAUGACUCAGACAUAGCUGUGAGAAUGCUAAGGAGAUGAUUUGCGUUUCUGUUAGUAGCACUGAUUUGUGUGCUUGGGAUUUGCUCUUUGCAGGGUCAGAACAAUUAAGAGUCUUUACCUUCACCAUUUACAUCUAGCCAGGUUCACUUUUUCAGUAUGUUUUUCUAUCCAGCGAAAUGGAAAAGUCUUAAGUUAAAGCAUACUAUUUGGAAAUCAAGAAGGAAAGCAUAUUGGAUUUUCUGUCUUUAUAGAAUCGUAGCUAAGUUACACUAAAGUUUUGACCUUGUAUUCAGGAUAGUACCAUAAACAAAUGGGUGAGUAUAUGCAUGGUCAUAGCACACAGCUGCUUUAAGUAUAUUUUGAGCCUCAGUGUGACACUGUGGGGUGCUGACUAGCUUGUAAGAUACUGGAUUACUAGAAUCAGCACUCACUUGCAGAUUCAGAACCUGAGACCUGAUCCUUAAAGGCAUUGUUUUGCUGAUGAGGGCACAUUUCAUUUUUUUUUAAAACGGACACAACUUUUCUUGUAUUAAAAAAUGCAAGAAUGUCUUAGAAUUGUUAGGUCGACUGUUUGGGCUCACUUAAGACUGAAACAGACUAAAACUAAAAUAAUAUGAGGGCUGCUCC
Meleagris gallopavo (turkey) is the source of this 6422-nucleotide non-coding RNA. The record is from RefSeq and is a predicted model, not a curated record. Lineage: Eukaryota; Metazoa; Chordata; Aves; Galliformes; Phasianidae.